UUUUUUUUAGUUUCGGUUUUGUUAUUAGAUCGGUUUUAUUUUCGGUUUAGUUUAAUUAGCGAGCGUUCGCUCCUUCGUUCGUUUUAACGAACGCAUUCAUCAUUUAGAUCUGGAUAACGAACGUUCGUUCGUUAACCUGUUUGUCGUUUUUCUUUUUCUCGGAUUUAAUCUGCGAUUUUUGUGAUCGCGAUUUCUGAUCCGAUUUUUGUUCUAGUAUAACUUUUCGCUCGUUUAUCGGAAUCUGGCAAUUCAAGCGCCUGGAGUUUCGUCUGGAAACCGUCUUUCCGAAUAACCAACUUGAACAAGUUUUUGCUACUAUAAAAAUUGACUUAGAUCUAGAUUAGUAAAACGAAGUUGUUUUCUUUCGCCGUUUGACUUUCGUAUCUUCGUUCGAUUUGAUUCUUUGUGCAAACCGGAGUUCUUAAGUUGAACUUUCUGGUUAGAUCUCUUAUUUGAGUUUUAACUGUGCAUUAGAUGGGUACUUAUUGUAUGCUUGUUUGUUUGUCUGUGAUAGAAUACCCGGAGUGCGCCGCCUGUUAUUUCGAGUCUCUAGGUUUCGCGGGUCAUCAGCAAGGCAAGUAACACUUUGAUCAUUCUUUUCUCAUACCCAGUUUUUAUGCAUUAUAUCAAUCCUCAAACAUUGCAUGAUUAGGAUCUAAUUAAUUUGUGGGUUUUGGGAAGUAGUUGAGGUAGUACCUAUUACCUGUUUUAUUUUCAAACCUUUGGGAGUUACUUCUACGUUUGCUUAUUAUGCCAUGCUAUGCUAGUUGACGUGGAUUGGGUGAGUGUAUCCAUGACAGAUGUGAGAUUGUUAAUUAAUGGUUUACUUAAGGUGGCAACUUAAAUACACAUCUGGGUGGAUUGAGGUACCUGGUUUCCAGGAUUUGCCUGUUUUUCUUCGGACCGCCACCCAGGCUCAAAGGGAUCAUAAGAUUAUUUAUGCUAGAAACUUCUGUGUGCAGCCACAUGCUACUAUGGGAUCUAGCAUAGUUGACUAAGUCGUGCGAACUCUUACAGUGGUAGACUAGCUGAUGUAGGGGUUGUAGGUUGGUACGGUCUACCCGUUACGUAAGGUGCAAGCGCUUCUGAAAGACUAUGUCUCGGUCAUCCGUUUCUCUAACACCAUGUAGUGCGAGAAAUCAAACGGAGGAGAUCGAGUCAUGUGGGGAAAAGUGCGCAAACCUCUACAGAGUGUAACAAACUAAUCAUGGUUAGACGUGUCCCUGGUUAUGGACAUCUUGAGUAUCUAGUACUUGGAUAUCAUGUGAAUCUCAUCAUGUUACUUCUAAUUAAUAUUGAUGGGAUGUUAAUGAGUACUUUUAAUUGGGACUGAGAAUGCUGUCAACCAUUCUCAAUGUUUAACAACCACCAUGAUAGUUAAAUAAAUUUAUUCCUUUGUAGUAGGGGAAAAUUGGCUUUACGCAAAACUGUAACCAUAGAGCUUUCCACCAGCCAAAUAUGCAUGUAGUAUAGCUUACUCUUUCAUUACUCUCUAUGUGUUACAUUGCCAGCAUAUUCCAUGUGCUGACCGUUUCGGGCUGCAACGUUUCAUGUUGCAGACUUUUCAGACGACGAGUAAGGUGCCUUUAGGUCGUGGUUCUAUACUCAGUGAUGCCGUUGGAGUUGAUGGACUCACUUAUCUUCCAAGCCUUCCGUUGUUAUCGUAUUUAGAUGGCCUUAAGCCAUAUUUAUUGUAAUAAGCUCUCUUUGGAGACACUCGAUGUAAUAAGUGUAUGAUUGCUACUCUGUUAUAAAUCCUUCAAGUACUGUACGUGUCAGCAUUACUAAUCCAGGGAUGACACUGAUGCACAGAGAUCAGACUGUCUGAGGUCUGGUCGCUACAAAGAUGGUAUCAGAGCACACGCUGACUGUAGGACACGACCACUAAGCAAAAGCCCUAGAAUGCUACUCUCUUCUCAUUUUUCUGACUCCUCAUCUUUUCUAUUCUUUAGGAUGGCGGAUGCAAGGAACAAGUUCAUGCAACCGGAUGAAGAUACACCCUUUGGACGACACCUAAAGGAAGUCACCAAGUACUUGAAGACUGGAGUACCAAGCUUCACCGGAACCUACAACGCCACUUUGCCUGAAGAGGAGCGCUGGAUCAUUCAAGUUCAAAUUCCAGGAAGGACGUUCAUGCCCAUCACUGAGACCAUAGUGUUUUCCUUUGAUGCACCAACCUGGAACCUAGGAAAGAGCAUGGCAGCCCACAUUUCCAUGGGACAUAUUGGAGAAGUCUAUCACAAGGAACUUAAGGAUACUAUCUACCAGAUUUUUGGGCGCCGAGAUGAGCAAUGGGAGAUGGUCAGCACCCGGAAGGACCGCUCAAUUGCAGCUUUCAUCCAGGAGUUGAACCAGCACAUCCGACGCCAGGAGAACCAAAUGUGCGCAGGGAUGAUGGAUCUGAAGAAGGCCAUGGUCAAAAUCACGGAACUGGAGGAAGAACUCAAGUCUACACAUGAUGGAUACGAGGAGGAAAUAGCAACACUAGUUGAGAAGAGCGAUGAUCUGAAGAAGAAGCUGAAAGUCUUUAUGGGAUUUCCUGGGACAGAAGGAGAAGAUGAAGAUUUCACAUGCCCAGAGAACUACAUCAUCAUUGACGACACCGACUCGGACCCAGAUGAUAGUGAUGAUGAUUAUGUUGAUGAAGCUGGAGCAGAUAUCAUGAAGUCUUCAACAGAGCAGUUUUUCUAGUCGACUACCAUAACAGUAGUAGUUUUCCACCAUGUAUCUAGUUUAGUUCACACACUUUUUGCGAUAGUUCUAGACCGAUUGUAUGCCCUUGUUUGAUUGAAUGAAGUGAUUUUGUGUGCAUUUGCCUCAUGAGCAUUUGGGUAGUGUUUUCUCUUUAGACCUCAUUUUGUUCUUAAUUUUGAUCUUUUCUAAACCCUCAGAUGCCUCCGAGAUGUGAUAAUGGAUUUCCACCGGAGCUCACCCAGUUGAUCCAGCAGCAGAAUGCAUUGAUGCAGAUAUUAGUCCAGAAUCAGAAUCAGGGGAACAACAACAACAACAAUCCACCACCGCCACCACCUGUUGAUCAUUUAACCCAUUUUCUUAGGCUGAAUCCGCCGGUGUUCUCCAGUAGCACCGAGCCGAUAGUAGAAGAUGAUUGGCUCCGCAAGACAGGGAAGGAGUUGACCACUGCAGGUUGCACAGAUGCGGAGAAGGUGCGAUUUGCCGCACACUAGCUUGAUGGACCCGCAGCAGCAUGGUGGGAGAAUUUUACAGCCACUUAUCCUGUAGACACUGUCACAUGGGAUCAGUUUCAGCAAGCAUUCCGUACUGCCCAUGUUUCGGCAAGAGCUAUGGCCAUGAAGAAGCGUGAGUUUCACAACUUGUGCCAAGGAGGACGGACAGUUGGCCAGUAUGUGGAUGAAUUUAGUAAACUAGCAUGUUAUGCCCCAGAUGACGUUGCUACGGAUGCAGCUAAGCAGGAGAAGUUUCUGGAAGGGCUGAAUGAUGAGCUGAGCAUGCAGUUGAUGGUAGCAAAUUUCAACAACUACCAGGAGUUGGUAGAUCGUGCUCUUAUGAUUGAAGGGAAGAAGCAGCAGAUUGAAAACCGCAAGCGGAAGUAUGGACAGGGGAAGUACAACUCUGGAGCCCAACAGAAGCCCCGUCUUACCCCUAAACCGGGAGGGCAAUUUCAGCAUACUCAUGGAGGAGGUAGCUCGCACAAUCAUAAUGGCACAAAGAAUGGAAACGGGAAUGGAGGAAACAAUGGACAAAACCGCACCAACCCGUCAACACCAUCCAAGGUAGACCUGAGCCAUAUCACUUGUUUUAAGUGUCGUAAGACUGGGCAUUAUGCAAAUGAAUGUCCAGAAGCCCAAAAUGGUAACGGCAAUGGAAGCUCAGGAAAGAAGCCGAACCCUUUCAACAGGGGACAGGUGAACCACGUUACCGUGGAGGAGGUUGAAGCUCAGCCAGACGCAGUAAUAGGUAAGUUUUUGGUUAAGACAUUUACUGCAGUUGUUCUUUUGAUACUGGUGCAUCGCAUUCAUACAUAUUAAGGGGAUUUGUGGAUAAGUAUAAAUUACCAACCCAAGCCCUUAGGUCACCCAUGCUAGUAACCUCACCCGGAGCAGAAUACAUUAAUAGUAUAUGGUGUGAUCGAUUACCGUUAAGGAUUGGACACUAUGUUUUUCCCUCGGACCUAAUAGUUCUGGAAUCGCAAGGACUAGAUGUGAUAUUAGGCAUGGAUUGGUUAUCGAAGUAUGGAGGGAACAUAGAUUGCGCCAGUAAGUCGAUUUUGCUUAUCACCCCGGAAGGCUAACGUUGUAGCAGACACGUUGAGCCGUAAGAGCCAUGUCAACACCCUAAUGACCGGAGGUUUACCAAAAGAAUUAGCCGAGGAAUUCCGAGAGCUAUGUUUGGAAAUAGUUCCGAGAGGCUAUGUAGCAGCAUUGGAAAUUCAGUCUACCUUGAUGGAUAAAAUCAGAGAAGCUCAAAGGACAGAUAAGGAAGUUGCUUCUAUUAAGGAGAAGAUGAGCAAGGGAAAAGCUAAGGGAUUUCGUGAGGAUGAACACGAUACACUAUGGUUUGAAGACCGCGUAUAUGUGCCCAAUGACCCAGAGAUCAGGAAGUUGAUUCUGCAAGAAGCACAUGAUUCACCGUAUUCGAUUCACCCAGGAAAUACCAAGAUGUAUUUGGAUUUGAAGGAUACAUUCUGGUGGACCGGAAUGAAGAAAGACAUUGCGGAGUACGUAGCAGUUUGCGAUGUAUGUCAAAGAAUAAAAGCAGAGCAUCAAAAACCAGCAGGAUUGCUACAGCCAUUGCCGAUACCCGAAUGGAAGUGGGAUAAGUUAGGCAUGGAUUUUAUCACGGGAUUACCAAGGACUCGUUCCGGCUAUAACUCAAUUUGGGUUGUAGUUGAUCGGUUGACGAAGGUAGCACAUUUCAUCCCAGUAAAGACCACUUACACCAGUGCUAAGUUGGCCAAGAUAUACAUGACCAGGAUCGUCUGUUUGCAUGGAGUUCCGAGGAGUAUCGUAUCAGAUAGAGGAACCCAGUUUACCUCAAAGUUCUGGAAGCAGUUGCACGAGACUUUGGGUACCAGGCUAGAGUUCAGUACAACUUUUCAUCCACAGACAUAUGGACAGACCGAGAGAGUCAAUCAGAUUUUGGAGGAUAUGCUGAGAGCUUGUGCGCUAGAUUAUGGAUCAAGUUGGGAUGACAAUUUGCCAUAUGCAGAGUUUUCUUACAACAACAGCUAUCAAACCAGUUUGAAAAUGGCCCCUUUCGAAGCCUUGUACGGAAGGAGGUGCAGGACACCGUUGUCAUGGGACGAGGUUGGAGACCGCCAGUGGUUUGGACCUGAUUUGAUUAAGGAGUCUGAACAGAAGGUGAAGUUAAUUCAUGAAAGGCUCAAGGUAGCCCAGUCCAGGCAGAAGAGCUAUGCGGAUUCAAAACGCAAGGAGACAGAAUAUGAAGUCGGAGACAGAGUUUAUCUUCGAGUAUCCCCGCUUCGAGGAGUUAAGCGAUUUGGAGUUAAAGGAAAGUUAGCGCCCCGAUUUGUAGGACCAUAUCGUGUUUUGGAACGUAUGGGAGAAGUUGCUUACAAGUUGGAAUUACUCGAGGGAUUGUCAGGUGUUCACGAUGUGUUCCAUGUUUCUCAGUUGAAGAAGUGCCACGCAGAGAUGGCUGACAUACCGUUGAGAGACACAGUGCCGUUGGAAGCAAUUCAGUUGGAUAACAAUUUGACCUAUGAGGAGAAACCAGUUAAGAUUCUCGAGUUUGCCAGCAGAGUCACCCACAGCAAGGUUAUCAAGUUCUGUAAGGUUCAGUGGAGCCACCACUCGGAGGAUGAAGCCACUUGGGAACAAGAGGAAGAUCUGCUCAAGGACCACCCUCACCUAUUUUCUAGCCAACCCGAAUCUCGAGGGCGAGAUUCAUCUUAAGGGGGGUAGGUUUGUAACAUUCCAAAUUUUCAAUUUAGAAUGUUAUACAUUAGAUCAUCAAUGCAUAUCAUAUUUUAUUUGCUUUUCGUUUUGAUCCUAGAAAUUCUACGCAACCCAAGGAUCCACGGAGAGAGUUGGGGAUUUCGUUAUUUUCAUAUUUGAGUUUUCUCAAAUUUUGGGAAUAGGAUCAUUUGAUUUUAUUUAUUUCAUCAUCAAUUAUUUCUAUUACAAAAAUAUGAGAGAGGGAAUAAAAUGACUUUCCCAAAAUAAAGAAAUAUUGAUGAUUUAAUAAUAAAAUCAAAUAAGAUUUUAUUUCAGAGUUUUUCGUUAUUUUAUUUGAAUUUAGGAAAAUAUAUGCGUUUUCCAAAAUUGCAUUUAGGCCCCAAAUAAAUGUUCACUUUGUCCGGCUUGAUUUUAGAAGUCCGGGAAAAUUUAUUUCGGGAUUUUUGGAGUCCGUUUAGUAUUUCUUUUUAUUUCUUUUCUGAGCGUAAUUAUUUAAAAAAAACGCGAACCGCCUUACGGGCCGUGCCCGAGAGGGACUCCGCCUGGGGGCAGCCUUUAAAUAACCACCGCCCGAGCGCCCCCAGCCCACCAGCGCCCGCCGCCAGCCCACCCUGCCCCAAAACCCUAGCCGCCAGCGCCCGCCNNNNNNNNNNNNNNNNNNNNNNNNNNNNNNNNNNNNNNNNNNNNNNNNNNNNNNNNNNNNNNNNNNNNNNNNNNNNNNNNNNNNNNNNNNNNNNNNNNNNNNNNNNNNNNNNNNNNNNNNNNNNNNNNNNNNNNNNNNNNNNNNNNNNNNNNNNNNNNNNNNNNNNNNNNNNNNNNNNNNNNNNNNNNNNNNNNNNNNNNNNNNNNNNNNNNNNNNNNNNNNNNNNNNNNNNNNNNNNNNNNNNNNNNNNNNNNNNNNNNNNNNNNNNNNNNNNNNNNNNNNNNNNNNNNNNNNNNNNNNNNNNNNNNNNNNNNNNNNNNNNNNNNNNNNNNNNNNNNNNNNNNNNNNNNNNNNNNNNNNNNNNNNNNNNNNNNNNNNNNNNNNNNNNNNNNNNNNNNNNNNNNNNNNNNNNNNNNNNNNNNNNNNNNNNNNNNNNNNNNNNNUUUUCCAUGCCAUUUUUUUUAGAAAACCGAUCGGCUUUCCGUCGGUUUUAUUUUCGGUUUUUUUUAGUUUCAGUUUUGUUAUUAGAUCGGUUUUAUUUUCGGUUUAGUUUAAUUAGCGAGCGUUCGCUCGUUCGUUCGUUUUAACGAACGCGUUCAUCGUUUAGAUCUGGAUAACGAAUGUUCGUUCAUUAACCUAUUCGUAGUUUUUCUUUUUCUUGGAUUUAAUCCGCGAUUUUUCUGAUCACGAUUUCUGAUCCGAUUUUCGUUCUAGUAUAACUUUUCGCUCUUUUAUCAGAAUCAGGUGAUUCAAGCGCCCGGAGUUUCGUCUCGAAACCCUCUUUCCGAGUAACCAACAUGAACAAGUUUUGCUACUGUAAAAAUUGACUUAGAUCCAGAUUAGUAAAACGAAGUUCUUUUCUUUCGCCGUUUGACUUUCGUAUCUUCGUUCGAUUUGUUUCUUUUUGCAAACCGGAGUUCUUAAGUUGAAUUUUCUGGUUAGAUCUCUUAUUUGAGUUUUACAUGUGCAUUAGAUGAGUACUUAUUGUAUGCUUGUUUGUUUGUCUGUGAUAGAAUACCCGGAGUGCGCCACCUGUUAUUUCGAGUCUCUAGGUUUUGCGGAUCAUCAGCAAGGCAAGUAACACUUUGAUCAUUCUUUUCUCAUACCCAGUUUUUAUGCAUUAGAUCAAUCCUCAAACAUUGCAUGAUUAGGAUCUAAUUAAUUUGUGGGUUUUGGGAAGUAGUUGAGGUAGUACCUAUUACCUGUUUUAUUUUCAAACCUUUGGGAGUUACUUCUACGUUUGCUUAUUACGCCAUGCUAUGCUAGUAGACGUGGAUUGGGUGAGUGUAUCCAUGACAGAUGUGAGAUUGUUAAUUAAUGGUUUACUUAAGGCGGCAACUUAAAUACACAUCUGGGUGGAUUGAGGUACCUGGUUUCCAGGAUUUGCCUGUUUUUCUUCGGACCUCCACCCAGGCUCAAAGGGAUCAUAAGAUUAUUCAUGCUAGAAACUUCCGUGUGCAGCCACAUGCUACUAUGGGCUCUAGCACAGUUGACUAAGUCAUGCGAACUCUUACAAUGGUAGACUAGCUGAUGUAGGGGUUGUAGGUUGGUACGGUCUACCCAUUACGUAAGGUGCAAGCGCUUCUGAAAGACUAUGUCUCGGUCAUCCGUUUCUCUAACACCAUGUAGUGCGAGAAAUCAAACGGAGGAGAUCGAGUCAUGUGGGGAAAAGUGCGCAAACCUCUGCAGACUGUAACAAACUAAUCAUGGUUAGCCGUGUCCCCGGUUAUGGACAUCUUGAGUAUCUAGUACUUGGAUAUCAUGUGAAUCUCAUCAUGUUACUUCUAAUUAAUAUUGAUGGGAUGUCAAUGAGUACUUUUAAUUGGGAUUGAGAAUGUUGUCAACCAAUCUCAAUAUUUAACAACCACCAUGAUAGUUAAAUAAAUUUAUUCCUUUGUAGUAGGGAAAAAUUGGCUUUACGCAAAACUGUAACCAUAGAGAUUUCCACCAGCCAAAUAUGCAUGUAGUAUAGCUUACUCUUUCAUUACUCUCUAUGUGUUACAUUGCCAGCAUACUCCAUGUGCUGACCCAUUUCGGGCUGCAACGUUUCAUGUUGCAGACUUUUCAGACGACGAGUAAGGUGCCUUUAGGUCGUGGUUCCAUACUCAGUGAUGCCGUUGGAGUUGAUGGACUCACUUAUCUUCCAAGCCUUCCGUUGUUAUCGUAUUUAGAUGGCCUUAAGCCAUAUUUAUUGUAAUAAGCUCUCUUUGGAGACACUCGAUGUAAUAAGUGUGUGAUUGCUACUCUGUUAUAAAUCCUUCAAGUACUGUGCGUGUCAGCAUUACUGAUCUAGGGAUGACACUGAUGCACAGAGAUCAGACUGUCUGAGGUCUGGUCGCUACACUCGGAAAUACAAUGGUUAGCACACACAAGGUGUCCAUCAAGUAAGCAUGAGGUCGUCCAAUGGAAUUGUUCAUGAAAAGGCACAAUAUGCUUAUCCAGAUGAUGUAAAAUGACGUGUAAAGCAUUCAUGUUGUCAAAUUCACUGGAGGCAUGCACAAAGGUGUUGUGAAUAUGAUGAAUGCGGCCAUUGUGCAAAAUGAUGUCAUAAUGGGAUGGUGCAUCAAAAGCAUGAACAUGUCAAUGGAUGCUUAAUACGUUUAUGUUAUCAUGCAAUUGAUGGUGGACAAUAUGAUCAUGAUGUAUGAAUAUGCCAUCAAGAAAGAUCACAAAAAAUCUGCUAAGGAAGUGCACAAGCUCAUAUAUCAUGGAUGACAUGGGAAUAUAAUAUGCAACAAGGCAAUCAUAAUGUGAGUCAAUCCAUGCAUAGGGUGCAAACUUACGGUGAGUAUGAUAUGUCCAUCGAGCAUGACAUGUGGGAGCACAAUCAACAAAUAUGGAGGUGUGAGUGCAAUGUGCCAAAGGAGUGUUGAUGUACCAAUGCUCAAUGUCGUGGCAUGAGUGGAAGUCCGAAGGUGCAUCCAAUAAGUCCGAGCGCUCCUCAAUGUAAAGGUCCAUAGAGCCAAUCUCCAAUGUCGCUCCUUCUUUCGCGAGAUGUAUCAUGUAGACAACAAGAAGGAAACAACAAUGAAAGAAUGACCCAUCUAAUGUGCGUAUUUGAGGAUGGCUCAAAGGGAUGGAGUUCACCUUUAUGAGGAUGUUGAAAAUGUUGGUGUCGCGCAUCAUAUAGACCUUUGGAUGACGAAUAUGGCUCAUGAUGGUACCGCCUUGUGAAUCCUUCAAAAUGAAAGAAUAUGACAAACACUCAGAAAAACAAAUGAGGUUAGCAGAAGUGCAAAACCUAUCAUUCAUGUGGUAAGAUACCCAACAAGUGUAUGCAUCAUGCUCAUCAUAAGAAAGUACAAGGGAGCAUUUCAUAGUACGGAGGCAUAUGAUGCGAGAACAACCAAAAGCAUUAAGCUCAAUCAAACAAGUAUGCAUCACAAGUAAGGUGUCAAAGUCUCCAAGAUUAAUAAGCAUAGUAUGGUUGCACACAAUACAAGUGGAUAUGAAAGAGGCAACUAAUGGACACAAGAGACAAUGAUCAAGAUAUAUCAUGUGAGAGGCAUGAACAUAUAUGUCAUCAACCCAAGGAAGCGAGUAAGAGUGGAACAUGGGUGAUGCAACAUAGCAAGCAAUCAUAGCGAUCAAGUCAAGCAUGCUAGUAGAUGCAACAUACUAGAGGGAAUCAUGGCAAGCAUGUCACGUGUGCAAAUAGUGAGCAUAUAUAAUGCACAUGACAUAUCACAAGCAUGAAAACAAAAUAUGAGAAAAGUAGGUUCAUGGUGUUGGCAAGAAGUCCUAUGUAAAUAGCAAUGGGACCUCAUAAAUCUCCCAACACAACAAACCUCAAUAUCAUGGGGCACAAAGAAAUCAUGGCAAUAACUACUAGGAUCUCCACCAAGCAUGCAGAUACGUAUAGGAGUAGCAUAAUGGUGAAUCAUGGGUAGAUGCAAGCAAGGGUCACAAUUGCAUGGCAAAAUCAUGUAAAGAGGCAUAACAUGCAAAGUGAACACGAUAGUAUGGGCAUAAAGUGACAAGUGGUAAAUAGCCCAUAGCCAUGUGAGAGCCAAGUAGAAGAGAUGCCCGUAGUCCUUGCGUGAAGGAAACGGUGGGAAUGACAAUCCACGGGAUCCCAAAUCAUCGUUGCUCUCAAGAGCUCGUUUCGUCAACUCAUGGGAUUGUGAGGUUGACGAGUGUUCAUAAGUACCUACACAAAACAAAGGCAAAGGAAAAAUUGUGUGUGCGUGGUAUAUGUACACAUCAUCCAUCAUGAUGCGCACGUGCUUGUGUUGGUUAGCACAAAAUAUCCAAUGCUCAAAUAAAUGAGAUGCGUGAUAUAGAAACAUGACAUCCAUCAUGAGAGGUUUGUUAUUAUGUAUGGCAUAAUGGAGACUCAAAGGAUGUAAUGCAUCAUGAGAUAUAUGUAGAGCAUUGUUAUUCAUGGAAUUUAUAUGGUGCACGCAAUCAUGGAAAUUAUGCAAAGUAUGGAAUGCAUCAAAAUCUCCUAAUAUGUAUGAGGAAACUAUGGGGGUCUCCUCACGAGCAUUAGUGUAAACAUCACAUGGAGAAUAUUGACAACAUCCAAAAUAAUGCAUAUUCGAAACAAUGUGAUCAUGGCAUGUCAUAGUAGAUGAAUUGGCAAAUCAUGUAAAGGAAGCAUGGCAAUAUCAUCGCAAGAGAAGCAAAAGCCAAUGACCAUCAUCUCGUCAUCUAUGACAUAAGUGCAAAUGGGAUUUAUUUUAAUGGGGCAUGCAUAGUUACUAUGUUGAGAUUGAAAUGAUGCAAUAUGGGAGAUUUCACUCAUAGCAUAUGACAAGUUUAAAGGAUUAUCAAACAUGAUGUGACCAAAAGAAUUUUCACAUGAUAUCCUAUGGAGCAUAGCAUCACAACUAGGCAACUCAACAUGCUCGUCAUCAUAUUCAUCAUAAAUUGGUAAGUCAAGACAUGAGGAAGUCGCACUAGCAUGAAGCACGGAAAUAGGUGUGUCAACAUCAUGCAAGUAAUCAUUGGUAAUAUAGUCCGCUCGUGGGGCAAGAGAAGCACCGUCACCUAUGUUACCUUUGGAGCGUCGCUCAUGUGUUGUAGGUGAGGUGUCGAAGAUCCACUCGUUGUCAUCUUCAUCUUGAUGGAACCAUGUGUGGGGUGCAUGAUCGUCCACCAUAGCCAUCGUCGUCUCCUUUGGAGGUAUGGAGUCGCCGAGGAUAGGCAUGUUGUCAUGUAGGAGACCUAGCACCAAAGAAGAAAACACACUAGGAGUAGAGGUAAGUCGUUAGAAAUCAUAGUGGCCUCACAUGCCGUGUCAACUACCUCACUCGCUAAGUGUUGUGGCUCACUCACUCCCUCAAGGAUGCUCUCACUCAUAUGGUUGGUGGAGUCACUCAAAUGGCGCUCAACCUCACAUAGGAUGUGUGGCAUGCUCUCAUGUGUGGGGCUAGUGGUGGUCACACUCAUCCUCUCAUGGGAAAUGCACUCAAUGUCAUAUAUGGUGGAGUCACUCAUCUCACUCAUGGGGUGGUGGCUCUCCUCACAUGACAAAUGGGACAUCUCGACAUAUGUGGGUGUCGGAGAGAUGUAGGUGCAAAUGUCUCCAUGCUCAACUCCUAUCACGGCCUUGGUUGAAGGGAUAGUCCCAUGCUGAACCUCCUCAUCCAUAAUGCCUCCAAAGAUGAAUGCCGUAGGAUGUGGCAAAACAUCUCUCUCCUCCGAGACCAAAGAUAAAUUCUCGUGUGCAGUCUCGUAGCUUAACUCAGAAUAUGAGUCCACUAUGGGCGCCGUCUUCACGUUGUUGAAGAGGUUCAUGCUCAUCGCCAUAGCCGAAGGGGAUGGCCUUGCUCGACCAUCUUGUUGCCGUCUUGUUGUUGGAGGCCCAUAUGAUGUGGCACCUCGUAGCUCGUCUCCAUGACUGAAGGGAAAUUCCCUUGCUCGGUCAUCUUUCUUGAGGGGCUUCUGAAGAUGGAAGUGUCGCCCUCGCUCGUAGGUGGUCGUCUUGUUGUUAAAGAUGUCGAUGUAGGCGAACUCAUGGGAAGUAGGCGAAGAUGUCGUACGUCCAAAGGCGAAGAUGCCUUGAGAACACUUGGCGAAGAUGCCGAAGUGGUUGGUGUAGCCUUAGCUCUGUCUUGAUGGUGCUCAUCUAGCGGUCUUCUCUUUUGCUCAUGAAGCUUCGACUUGGCGUGAGGUAGGGCUUGUUGGGACUUGUGCAUUUGCGCUUGUGGAGCAUCUGCAUGAUGAUGAUGUUGUUGCCGUGCUUGAGCUUGUAGUAGAUGUCAUUCGUCGUUGCUGUGCACGUGUUGCUUUGAGGUGACUUUCCCUUCAUGACGAUGUUGAUCACGAACGUGAUGGUGGUCGCCAUGGAGAUGAUCGACUUGGUCGUCGCUGCCUUGAAGAUGACGAAGGGGAAGUAGACUUGAUUAAGGCCCAAAUCUCCUCCAUCCUUGCAUCUUCCUCCUCCUUUUGUGCGGAAAGCUCAUUGUCGAAGUAGUCUCUUGUAUGUGCUUCGGAGUGUCGUAUGUCGAUGGCAAGAUUGUCGAUGCGUUCUCGCAAUCUUGAUUGUACGCCUUGCAUUUGUCAUUGUAGAUCGCGGAGUGACGAUUUGGCGAUGUAGUUGUUCACAUCGUCGUUGUUGUCAAAGACCGGAGAUGAAAUGCCUUUCCUAUCCAUCACAAGACUCGAGCAAAUAUGAGUGGAAGAAAGGAGAGAACUAUACCAAAUGUACCUUGACCAAUGUUGAAAAUGGAUCGAUGAUCACUCAAUGAUGUAACAAGGAAAUAGCACAAUUGGUACCGAUCUCGUCAAUUUCUCACACCUACACAAGUAAGGCUUAUGGUGGAGCUCGGUGAGGAAAGUGGCACAACAAUUUGAUGCAAAAUGUUAGCAAGAGUUAAUAAUGUUGCAAGAGAUUCAAAAAUUCGCAAGCGAAACAAGUAGACCAAUAGCAAUGAAUGGCACACGGAAACACACACACGGAUAGAUAAAUGGGGUUGUGCAACCAAGGAAUGAGCACAAAAUGUGGAAUCCACGAAAAACGCUCGUGUUGCACAACUCAAAAGAGACGCUAGCACGAUUGCUCAACAGGCAGAUACGACACUUGUGCACAACCUAUAAGAUGCAAAAUAUAGCAACUUCUAUCCCAAGUAUGCUAUGUAUGUAUGAUGUUCCCGGUGGUUAACAAGAUGAUCCAAGAUGAUCGGAUAUGACAAUCUUAUAUGCAAUGUGGUAUGAUGCUAUGGCACUUGCUUACAAGCUUCUUUGCUCUCUUUCUUUUGCUUAAAAGCUUUAUUUCUUUUUUUUUGUAUGGCCACUUUUGCACCAAUGCACAAUCCAAGAUAGCAAUAGUGUAUAUGCGGGAACAAACUUGUGACACAAGAUAUCAUAUGAUAGCAAGAUGAUACCAAUAUGAUAUGGUAUAUAUGCAAUAGGAGGUGUAGACCAAUGAUCACUAAUGUGCACAAGUAACAUUUCCGGCAAUACUCAAUGGCUAGUCUUGAUAGGCAAGUGACGCAAAAUGGGCUAGGGGUUAUCAAUGCAAUUGCAAGGGGAACAUACAAUGAUGUCGUCAAGGUUACCGUCCAUGUCGAUGAUGAGAGCUGAUGUUGUCAAAGUCGACCCGUUCCUAAUUAGCCGAAACACCUUAGGAAACGGAAAACCCGCAAACUCAAAAUCUCCAAAUGUCAAAUGGUGGUAGCGGAAAAGUGGUGGUGGUUUGCACUUGGCAAUGCGGAAGUGGGAUGAUGGGUUAUACGAGUCGGCAAUGCAGAAGUGGAGUAAUGGGCUAUACACAUGUCAGAGUUGAUGUUGCCGUCCCUAAGUAGCCGAAACACCUUAGGAGACACAAGCCACAACUCAACAAGCUCAAACAAAAUUGUGUUAAGUUGGGGUGGCGGAAGUGUAUGGUGGGCAAGCUUAUGCGGAAGUUAUGGUGGUUGUGGUUGAUGAAGAAGCAACCGUCUCUAUGUAGCUGAAACACCUUAGGAGACUCGAAUCACUACUCAAACAACCUCAAAUGCAAUGGGGUGCAAUGUGGGUUAGGUUGCGGAAGUCGGUGGUGGUAAUGCAGAUGAUAUGGUGGAAGGCCUAGGCAAAGAUGCCAAAGUGCCAAAACUUUGAUGGAGUCAAAUGGUGUUGAAACCUAUCUAUAUGGAUGGGGGAUGUCAAUAGCUACUCAACGAGCUAAACAACGUGAAAAUCCGACUCCGAAUGUGAAAGUUAUGGGCAAAACGGUGAAACACGGGAGGUUGAAUUCCUAGGGGUCGGACAUCCGGGGGUGGGCCCGGAUAUCCGGGGGCCAAUGUCCAGAACCGUGCAGAUUUUGUGCUCCAGGAGCCGGAUGUCCGGCCUAUGGCCCGGAUGUCCGGCCCGACGAUUCCAGAUCGGGAUUUUCACUUCGAAACUUGAUUUGGGGGUAGAAAUUGAUGAUUUCGGGGGCAAAAAUUGAGGAAUUUCAUGGAUGGAAGGUGGGGAAACUUGGGGAGAUGCUAGAUCCACUCGAAACCAAGCAAAUCCAUGGAUCAAAAUCAACAAAACAUCAUCAAACCAACAAAUCACAAAAAAUGGGGCUAUUUUUGGCGGGGAUUUUCGAAUUUAGGCAAGAACACACAAAAUUAGGCUAGAAAAACAAGGGGUAGGGGCUCCAAAUUCGUGAUCAACCUUGCUCUGAUCCAAGAUGAUGUAGGGUAGAACCCUAGAUGCCCGAUCUUUCACGAUUGGAGGGGAUCCUACGAAGAACAGAAAGAACACGAGGGGAAAACGAGGGGAAACACAAGAGAAAUCACUCAACCAACAAGAUCCGGUUACACAUAUGCUAGAUCCUCGAAACACAAAGAGAUACACGAUCCGAAUCCAACAAAGGACGAUACAAGAGGCGGUAGUUCUUCUCUGUGAGGAGGUCUUGAAGGUCUUCCCGUGAAGGGGCCUUGAAUCCGCUUGGGGGAUCUUCUCCGAAGAGGUCAUGAGCUCCGAGGAGAAGUAACCAAGUGGAUGAGCAAAGCUCUAUCUCAAAUGAGCUAAACCUAUGCUAACCCUAAAAUGUAGGUGGAGGGGGAGUAUAUAUAGUCUAAGGGCGAAGGAGUACAUGGGCCUCGGCCCACAGGAUCUGCACGCAGGCAGGGGGCGGAUGUCCAGGCGUCGGGCCGGAUGUCCGGGCCUUCCCGAGACGCCGGAUGUCCGAGCGCUGGGGCCGGAUGUCCAGGAUGGCAGGGUCCAGCUUCUGUGAUGGGGCACCAGAUUUCUGAGGGUUGAGCCGGAUGUCCGGCUGUUCGCCGAGCGCCGGAUGUCCGAUGCCUGUAGGUGCUCUUCAGCUGGGCUUUUGCUGUAAUCGGAAUCUUCAGGGGCCGGAUGUCCGGGUCCUGUAGCACCAUGACGUCCUUCUUUGCCGAGCCUCUUCAUCCAUGUACUUGGGGACUUGUCCAAUGUUCCGAGUGUCUCCAUGGUCGUCUCCUCGGUUCCUGAGCACGUGUAAUGUCUUUGCAUAAGGUAGCAAUCAUGCCUCACAUGAAUGGAAAGGGGAAGCAUUUAGGAGCGGGUUCACCUUGUGUCCAAUGGCGUAUGCUCGAGGUCUCAACAUGUGGGCACUUGGGGCUUGGGGAGUAGUCGUAGUGUACAUAGGGAUGAUCGUAGGAUGCUCUGCAUCACUUAGCUUUGGGUUCAAUCUUGAAGUGUCCUUUCCCAGUGACAGUAGGGGCAACAAGGCAUGUAUUAUAUUAUUGCCAGGAUAACAAGAUGGGGUUUUCAUCAUAUUGCUUGAGUUAAUUCAUCUACAUCAUGUCAUCUUGCUUAAUGCGUUACUCCGUUCUUUAUAAACUUAAUACUCUAGAUACAUGCUGGAUAGCGGUCGAUGUGUGGAGUAAUAGUAGUAGAUGCAGGCAGGAGUCGGUCUACUUGACACGGACAUGAUGCCUAUGUCCAUGAUCAUUGCCUUAGAUGUCAUCAUAAUUAUGCGCUUUUCUAUCAAUUGCUCGGCAAUAAUUUGUUCACCCAUCAUAAUACAUGCUAUCUCGAGACAAGCCACUAGUGAAACCUAUGGCCCGGGGUCUCUUUUCCAUAUAUUGAAUCUCGUAUACAUCUUGCUAGUUUCCAAUCUAUUAUUUUGCAAUCUUUACUUUCCAAUCUAUACAUCAAAAAUACCAAAAAUAUUUACUUUACUAUCUCUAUCAGAUCUCACUUUUGCGAGUGACCUUGAAGGGAUUGACAACCCCUUUAUCGUGUUGGUUGCAAGUUCUUGAUUGUUUGUGCAGGUAUUCAGUGACUUGUGCGUCGUCUCCUACUGGAUUGAUACCUUGAUUCUCAAAAACUGAGGGAAAUACUUAGCUACUUUGCUGCAUCACCCUUUCCUCUUUAAGGGAAAACCAGCGCAAGCUCAAGAGGUAGCAGAAGGCACUUGCUAUUCCAAUCUGUUGCACUUGCUAUUGGAGGGCUCAUAUUGUUGCACUGGAUUUAAAUUAAUCAUGUACUACUGAACAACAAGCCCUACUCCUACUACUGUCCAACAAACAGCAAUAUUUCACCCAAUAUAUGGCAUUUUCACACAAAUUACUGGAGUACUCUCUUUUGUCACAAGUUCAUGUUCACAUGAGUUUGUGUGAGUUCCCUUUUGUCACAAACCAAAAGCUAAGAAACAAAUCUAAACAAGUCACACAGGAAGAACAUAUCCUCCUUUGUCACACAGGAAGUAGUACAAAAAUAUGGAUUAAUUUCCUUUACCAUUCACAACGCCUCCAAUAUGAACAAAUCUAAACAAAUCUACAGCUAAGAAGAUAUCAUCCUUUACAUUUUUGAAACACAGUCACAUAGGAGUAUGGAUUAAUUUCGAUUUUGUAUGAGCUUAACAUUUUUGUGUGAGCUUCAUACUAGAUUCAUAAUGGAGUUUGUUCAUAUUUUUGCAACACAGUCACACAUGAGUAGUACAAAAAUAUGGAUUAAUUUCCUUUACAUUUCACAGUCACACAGGAAGAACAAAAUCUUCUACAGCAACAUAGUUUCCUUUUGUGUGAGCUCCCUUUUGUAACAAGUUAAUGUUCACAGGAAGAACAAAAUCCUCCACUUCCCUAACAAAAAUCACAUCUGCACCUAAGACGAACCCACAAACAAACGGAUUCCUUAGCUUGAGGUUCAGCAGAACCCCCUUGAGGUUCUUCUGGGCGACCUAGACGGACCCCUCCUCCGUCAUCACCACCUCGGCCGCCGCCUCCUCCGCCUCCACAUCGUCAUCUUCCUCAAUAUUCUGCACCACAGCACACGCAUUAACCCCCGUGAGAGGCCAAGCCAUGGCGAGAGGAAGCACCCGCGAGAGAGGGAUUGAUUCCUUACCUUGCGGCAGCAGUACCCCAUGAAUAGGCGUUGUACUGUCACUCCGCUUCUUCGCUACCCCGUUGUUCCGUUGCUCUGUUGCUCUACUGCUACGGCGCCGCUCCGCCGCUCCACAUCCAAUGUCGCUUCGUCACCGGUGUCGGGGCACGUGGAUCCAGUGCUGGCGCACGCGGAACCAGCGCCUCCGCCGCCCAGAAGCACGUCGUGGGCGCUAAAAAAUUGAUAUUUUACCUUGGGGUGCUGGAUUUCUGGUGCCCGCUGUGGGAGAAAAUGGGGUGGCGCCGUGGGAGGAAGCCGGCGACGACAGGAGGAAAGGAGAGGCCGGCGACGGCGGGAGGAAAGGAGAGGCCGAUGACAACGGGAUGAGAGGAAAGGUGGGCAAGAGGAGAGGAUCUGGGAGGGACGGGCGAGAG
RNAcentral lists this long non-coding RNA (18197 nucleotides) under Triticum aestivum (bread wheat). RNAcentral's name for it is "long non-coding RNA (TAES_LNC022400)". The record is from RNAcentral. Lineage: Eukaryota; Viridiplantae; Streptophyta; Magnoliopsida; Poales; Poaceae.